GCGGGGGUUGCCCGCCCAGUUCAAAGGCGAUAGUUUGAGGAAAUAUUUUCGUAGGAAUCCGUGGGUCCGAAUCCCAUCCCCUGCACCA
Molecule: transfer RNA, 88 nt
Filed under: Candidatus Cloacimonadota bacterium
Lineage: Bacteria; Pseudomonadati; Candidatus Cloacimonadota
Description: tRNA-Leu
Source: RNAcentral